CGGUGACCUCGAGAGCUUGCUCUCGGGCGAUCAGUGGCGAACGGGUGAGUAACACGUGAGUAACCUGCCCCAGACUCUGGAAUAACCCCGGGAAACCGGAGCUAAUACCGGAUACGAGACGGAGCCGCAUGGCUACCUUCUGGAAAGUUUUUCGGUCUGGGAUGGACUCGCGGCCUAUCAGCUUGUUGGUGAGGUAACGGCUCACCAAGGCGACGACGGGUAGCCGGCCUGAGAGGGCGACCGGCCACACUGGGACUGAGACACGGCCCAGACUCCUACGGGAGGCAGCAGUGGGGAAUAUUGCACAAUGGGCGAAAGCCUGAUGCAGCGACGCCGCGUGAGGGAUGACGGCCUUCGGGUUGUAAACCUCUUUCAGCAGGGAAGAAGCGAAAGUGACGGUACCUGCAGAAGAAGCACCGGCUAACUACGUGCCAGCAGCCGCGGUAAUACGUAGGGUGCGAGCGUUGUCCGGAAUUAUUGGGCGUAAAGAGCUUGUAGGCGGUCUGUCGCGUCUGCCGUGAAAUUUCGGGGCUCAACCCCGAACUUGCGGUGGGUACGGGCAGACUAGAGUGUGGUAGGGGAGACUGGAAUUCCUGGUGUAGCGGUGAAAUGCGCAGAUAUCAGGAGGAACACCGAUGGCGAAGGCAGGUCUCUGGGCCACUACUGACGCUGAGAAGCGAAAGCAUGGGGAGCGAACAGGAUUAGAUACCCUGGUAGUCCAUGCCGUAAACGUUGGGAACUAGGUGUGGGUCUCAUUCCACGAGAUCCGUGCCGCAGCUAACGCAUUAAGUUCCCCGCCUGGGGAGUAC
This 809-nucleotide ribosomal RNA is filed under the name Knoellia sp. RNAcentral's name for it is "bacterial SSU rRNA". It matches the Rfam family "Bacterial small subunit ribosomal RNA", at positions 67 to 883 of the family's 1533-position model. Lineage: Bacteria; Bacillati; Actinomycetota; Actinomycetes; Micrococcales; Intrasporangiaceae. The record is from RNAcentral.